Molecule: ribosomal RNA, 504 nt
Filed under: uncultured bacterium
Lineage: Bacteria
Description: bacterial SSU rRNA
Rfam family: Bacterial small subunit ribosomal RNA
Source: RNAcentral
AGUGGCGUACGGGUGAGUAACACGUGACUAACCUACCCUCGAGUGGGGAAUAACCUCGGGAAACCGGGGCUAACACCGCAUAACAUCUACGGAUCAAAUGCGUAAGCAGCUUGAGGAGGGGGUCGCGGCUGAUUAGCUAGUUGGCGGGGUAAUGGCCCACCAAGGCAGUGAUCAGUAGCCGGCCUGAGAGGGCGCACGGCCACACUGGAACUGAAACACGGUCCAGACUCCUACGGGAGGCAGCAGUGGGGAAUUUUGCGCAAUGGGGGAAACCCUGACGCAGCAACGCCGCGUGGAGGAUGAAGCCCCUUGGGGUGUAAACUCCUUUCGAUCGGGACGAUUAUGACGGUACGGGAUGAAGAAGCACCGGCUAACUCUGUGCCAGCAGCCGCGGUAAUACAGAGGGUGCAAGCGUUGUUCGGAAUUAUUGGGCGUAAAGGGUGCGUAGGCGGUGCGGUAAGUCUUCUGUGAAACCUCCGGGCUUAACUCGGAGCCUGCAGGGGA